This 492-nucleotide ribosomal RNA is filed under the name uncultured bacterium. RNAcentral's name for it is "partial 16S ribosomal RNA". It matches the Rfam family "Bacterial small subunit ribosomal RNA", at positions 29 to 507 of the family's 1533-position model. The record is from RNAcentral.
AGUGAACGCUGGCGGUAGGCCUAACACAUGCAAGUCGAACGGCAGCACAGUAAGAGCUUGCUCUUACGGGUGGCGAGUGGCGGACGGGUGAGGAAUACAUCGGAAUCUACUUUUUCGUGGGGGAUAACGUAGGGAAACUUACGCUAAUACCGCAUACGACCUACGGGUGAAAGCAGGGGAUCUUCGGACCUUGCGCGAUUGAAUGAGCCGAUGUCGGAUUGGCUAGUUGGCGGGGUAAAGGCCCACCAAGGGGACGAUCCGUAGCUGGUCUGAGAGGAUGAUCAGCCACACUGGAACUGAGACACGGUCCAGACUCCUACGGGAGGCAGCAGUGGGGAAUAUUGGACAAUGGGCGCAAGCCUGAUCCAGCCAUACCGCGUGGGUGAAGAAGGCCUUCGGGUUGUAAAGCCCUUUUGUUGGGAAAGAAAAGCAGCAGGUUAAUACCCCGCUGUUCUGACGGUACCCAAAGAAUAAGCACCGGCUAACUUCGUG